This 359-nucleotide long non-coding RNA is filed under the name Bos taurus (domestic cattle). RNAcentral's name for it is "long non-coding RNA NONBTAT006800". The record is from RNAcentral. Lineage: Eukaryota; Metazoa; Chordata; Mammalia; Artiodactyla; Bovidae.
UAGGGACAGUCUCUUGUCCAUCUAGCUUCUUCCAUGACUUCUUUUUUGCCCUCCUUUUUAUUUUAUACUUAUUUUCUUUUGGCUUGCUUUAAAUAAAAUCUUCUCUUGCACCUUUGUGUUAUUAUUUUUUGUCUGGGUUUCUUUUUUUUCCAUCUCUCUUUUUGUCAUCACUUUCCUCCAUUCCUGAUCUGCAUUGCUGUUUUUCUCCUGGGCUUUGUGUGUGUGUCUGUUUUCCCGUGUUCUGGGGUGCUGUCUCAGUUUUUCAGGCUUAGUCGCCUUCCUAAUUUCUCCUUUUAUGUGGAGAUGGGCGGGGAUGGCAGGAGCCAUAGAGUGCCCUUAGCGACAUCAUGGAAACUGAU